RNAcentral lists this ribosomal RNA (253 nucleotides) under uncultured bacterium. Its description in RNAcentral is "partial 16S ribosomal RNA". It matches the Rfam family "Bacterial small subunit ribosomal RNA", at positions 524 to 776 of the family's 1533-position model. The record is from RNAcentral.
UACGAAGGGGGCUAGCGUUGCUCGGAAUUACUGGGCGUAAAGCGCACGUAGGCGGCUUUCUAAGUCGGGGGUGAAAUCCUGGAGCUCAACUCCAGAACUGCCUUCGAUACUGGAAAGCUCGAGUCCGGGAGAGGUGAGUGGAACUGCGAGUGUAGAGGUGAAAUUCGUAGAUAUUCGCAAGAACACCAGUGGCGGAGGCGGCUCACUGGCCCGGUACUGACGCUGAGGUGCGAAAGCGUGGGGAGCAAACAGG